Vicia faba (fava bean) is the source of this 210-nucleotide non-coding RNA. NCBI's taxonomy places the organism in Eukaryota, Viridiplantae, Streptophyta, Magnoliopsida, Fabales, Fabaceae. The record is from the annotation of a GenBank genome assembly.
AUGGAAGGAGUAUCUAUGAUAUGGUUUCAAUCUUGGUGCCAAGUUGCACAGACACCUCUAGGAGUAGGCGUGUUGCAGGCAGAUCAAGUAUGUCUCAAAACUCUUGCACUUGGGAAGGUUCUAGAGAAAAUAGGGGAAGAAUGGAUAAUUCACAAAAAUAGGUGUUUGUUUGAUCUAAUGCAUCAAAGCUCAAAUGGAUCUGGUAUUUAG